AUUUAGUAGUAAAUUAAGAAUAG
RNAcentral lists this non-coding RNA (23 nucleotides) under Cricetulus griseus (Chinese hamster). Lineage: Eukaryota; Metazoa; Chordata; Mammalia; Rodentia; Cricetidae. The record is from RNAcentral.